RNAcentral lists this ribosomal RNA (399 nucleotides) under uncultured bacterium. RNAcentral describes it as "bacterial SSU rRNA". It matches the Rfam family "Bacterial small subunit ribosomal RNA", at positions 64 to 507 of the family's 1533-position model. The record is from RNAcentral.
GAGCGGACGUAGCAAUACGUCAGCGGCAGACGGGAGAGUAACACGUGGGAACGCGCCCUUCGGUUCGGAAUAACUCAGGGAAACUUGGGCUAAUACCGGAUACGCCCUUACGGGGAAAGAUUUAUUGCCGAAGGAACGGCCCGCGUCCGAUUAGCUUGUUGGUGAGGUAACGGCUCACCAAGGCGACGAUCGGUAGCUGGUCUGAGAGGAUGACCAGCCUCACUGGGACUGAGACACGGCCCAGACUCCUACGGGAGGCAGCAGUGGGGAAUAUUGGACAAUGGGCGCAAGCCUGAUCCAGCCAUGCCGCGUGGGUGAUGAAGGCCUUAGGGUUGUAAAGCCCUUUCGGCGGGGAAGAUAAUGACGGUACCCGCAGAAGAAGCCCCGGCUAACUUCGUG